CCUUGUUCUUACUCUGCAGCCAUGGUGGCAGCUGUCCUGUCCAACGAUCGUGAGUACAUCCUUAUCCUCGACCUCCAAACCCUCUCCAAUGCCUACUGCUACUGCCGUCAACAGGGUAUGACUCUGGCAACAUUCAGAGAUGAGACUGACCUGGGCCUUGCUGCCUCCCUCUGUCACAACUGCACUGUCUGGAUUGGGCUAUACAAUCUUUUUACGUGGUUUUGGAUUAACAGUGACCCAUAUAGGUUCCAGAAGUGGGGUCCAGGACCCAUAACAACAUACCCUUGUGUGGUUAUGAAAAACGGCUUGUGGUAUCGAGAGAAUUGUCAGCAGAGACAUCUUUUUGUGUGUUACAGAGAGGUUAUCCACCUCCGCAAAGCUUCACCAAGUCUAUCUGCCACCUUGAGGCAAAGGAUGCGGCUCAGAGUCACCCCAAACCCACCAAAUAAUUUUGGCACCUGA
Molecule: long non-coding RNA, 462 nt
Filed under: Pogona vitticeps (central bearded dragon)
Lineage: Eukaryota; Metazoa; Chordata; Lepidosauria; Squamata; Agamidae
Description: lncRNA (ENSPVIG00000006198.1)
Source: RNAcentral